AGUGAACGCUGGCGGUAGGCCUAACACAUGCAAGUCGAACGGCAGCACAGUAAGAGCUUGCUCUUACGGGUGGCGAGUGGCGGACGGGUGAGGAAUACAUCGGAAUCUACUUUUUCGUGGGGGAUAACGUAGGGAAACUUACGCUAAUACCGCAUACGACCUACGGGUGAAAGCAGGGGAUCUUCGGACCUUGCGCGAUUGAAUGGGCCGAUGUCGGAUUAGCUAGUUGGCGGGGUAAAGGCCCACCAAGGCGACGAUCCGUAGCUGGUCUGAGGGGAUGAUCAGCCACACUGGAACUGAGACACGGUCCAGACUCCUACGGGAGGCAGCAGUGGGGAAUAUUGGACAAUGGGCGCAAGCCUGAUCCAGCCAUACCGCGUGGGUGAAGAAGGCCUUCGGGUUGUAAAGCCCUUUUGUUGGGAAAGAAAAGCAGCAGGUUAAUACCUCGCUGUUCUGACGGUACCCAAAGAAUAAGCACCGGCUAACUUCGUG
This 492-nucleotide ribosomal RNA is filed under the name uncultured bacterium. Its description in RNAcentral is "partial 16S ribosomal RNA". It matches the Rfam family "Bacterial small subunit ribosomal RNA", at positions 29 to 507 of the family's 1533-position model. The record is from RNAcentral.